UUUUAUGAGAGUUUGAUCCUGGCUCAGGACGAACGCUGGCGGCGUGCCUAAUACAUGCAAGUCGAACGCAUUUUCUUUCACCGUAGCUUGCUACACCGAAAGAAAAUGAGUGGCGAACGGGUGAGUAACACGUGGGUAACCUGCCCAUCAGCGGGGGAUAACACUUGGAAACAGGUGCUAAUACCGCAUAAUUCCAUUUACCGCAUGGUAGAUGGAUGAAA
This 221-nucleotide ribosomal RNA is filed under the name Enterococcus cecorum. RNAcentral's name for it is "partial 16S ribosomal RNA". It matches the Rfam family "Bacterial small subunit ribosomal RNA", at positions 1 to 206 of the family's 1533-position model. The record is from RNAcentral. Lineage: Bacteria; Bacillati; Bacillota; Bacilli; Lactobacillales; Enterococcaceae.